CUGCGGAGACAUUACCGAGUGCGGGUCCUUUGGGCCCAACCUCCCAUCCGUGUCUAUUGUACCCUGUUGCUUCGGCGGGCCCGCCGCUUGUCGGCCGCCGGGGGGGCGCCUCUGCCCCCCGGGCCCGUGCCCGCCGGAGACCCCAACACGAACACUGUCUGAAAGCGUGCAGUCUGAGUUGAUUGAAUGCAAUCAGUUAAAACUUUCAACAAUGGAUCUCUUGGUUCCGGCAUCGAUGAAGAACGCAGCGAAAUGCGAUAACUAAUGUGAAUUGCAGAAUUCAGUGAAUCAUCGAGUCUUUGAACGCACAUUGCGCCCCCUGGUAUUCCGGGGGGCAUGCCUGUCCGAGCGUCAUUGCUGCCCUCAAGCCCGGCUUGUGUGUUGGGUCGCCGUCCCCCUCUCCGGGGGGACGGGCCCGAAAGGCAGCGGCGGCACCGCGUCCGAUCCUCGAGCGUAUGGGGCUUUGUCACAUGCUCUGUAGGAUUGGCCGGCGCCUGCCGACGUUUUCCAACCAUUCUUUCCAGGUUGACCUCGGAUCAGGUAGGGAUACCCGCUGAACUUAAGCAUAUCAAAAACCCGGAGGGA
RNAcentral lists this ribosomal RNA (585 nucleotides) under Aspergillus niger. RNAcentral's name for it is "eukaryotic LSU rRNA". The stretch from base 201 to 354 matches the Rfam family "5.8S ribosomal RNA". The record is from RNAcentral. Lineage: Eukaryota; Fungi; Ascomycota; Eurotiomycetes; Eurotiales; Aspergillaceae.